Molecule: long non-coding RNA, 2075 nt
Organism: Gigantopelta aegis
Lineage: Eukaryota; Metazoa; Mollusca; Gastropoda; Neomphalida; Peltospiridae
Exons: 3
Source: RefSeq, a predicted model, not a curated record
UUGAGAACCUUUUUUCUAAAACCAAAUUGAGCGUCACUUAUGACAUUAUUCAUUUUAUCAAAAACUAAUAAUCGUUCAUUUAGGAUGGCAGUAAAUAAUUUCCCUAAGCAACUGACUAAAGUUAUGCCUCUGUAAUUAUCAGGGUCGUUUGCAUUGCCUUUUUUAAAAAUAGGAACAAUGCAUCCCAAUGACCAACUGUGUGGAAAUGUACCCGAAUCAAAGACAGCGUUAAAUAAUAUCAAUAAACAUGGCAUCAAAACAUUUAUACAAUUUAUAAAAUAUUCGUUUAAUACCUUGUCAAGCCCACUGGAUUUGUUCGUCUUUAACUUAUGUACAGCAUUAAGAAUUUCCUUCUCUGUAAUUUCAGAGCAAAGCUCGCGGUUCGGUGCGUCACUAACUUGCUGGUCGUAUUUACGUAAAAAAUCUUGUGUCUCGUCGUCUAAUUUAGGCACCUUUUCAGCCAAUUUGCUAAAAUGGUUAUAGAAUUCAUCAUUUGUUAGUUCUGAGUUUACGUUUUUCUUCCUUUUUUCGAAAUGUACAUAAAACUGCUUUGGGUUAUUUAUAAUUUCUUUUUAGGCGGCGUUCUAAUGACUUAUAUAUUCUUUUUACACGUACGAGUUCAAUUCGAUUUAGGUCACUUCUUCUACCAUUAAACAUAUGGAUAGCUGCUCUAUAUUCGUCAAAUCGAGCUUUACAUUCCUCGUUAAACCAUGGCUUAUCACCGCCUGUGGUAGUGUGCCGGCGCAUAUAGUUCUUUCUGUUUGUAUGGGUAGUGACGUCACAGUAAGGCAAUAUAAUAGUAUUUAGUUCGUUUGUGAAUUUAUCAACCCGGACGUUUAUACAGUCUUGGCUAUUACCACUAGUUGAACAUAUAUUCAAUAGCGUUUCAAUAUUUUCGGUUACUUUGGAAGCAAUGACAGCAUUGUUUUCGUCGAUCCACUUCACGGUAGUGUGUGUUCGAAUCUCAUCUGGCUCCUGCGUAUCAGCAAUGUUUACAUUACAACCCAGUGUGAACAGAACAGAACAGAACAGAACAGAACUUUAUUACACUCGUGAAACAUACAGGUGCAUGGUCGGAGAAACAAUUGAACUCACCGGAUUGAAAAUAUGAAAUUAAAUCGAAACACGAUUCGCUAGUGAGUACAUAAUCAAUAAGGCUUGUACCGUUUGCAUUGUAAAAAGUGAUACCUAAGAUGGCCAGCCCUACGGCGGACCACAUCAAUGUAAGCACCUCCAAACCACUUACCGCAAUCGGAACUCCUCGUACAUUUCUACGAAAUAUAAACUCGGACACAAUGCGUCAAUAUUUUGGACGGAACUUUUUUUAGUCACAUGAUCAAAACAUGGCUAUGGAAUAUAAUUGUUCAUGCUGUGCUUCAGUGAAUAGACAACUACAUACAACAACAACAAAUGCAUCGAAGAGAAUACGCGAGAAUGAUAUAAUACAAAAGAUAACAGACACAUUAGGCUUUAAACCUACUGACAGUUACAGAAUAUGUGACAGAUGUGUAAAUAAAAUUAUUAAAUUCCAAAAUUUUAAAACACAGGUUUUUGAAAAUCUACAGAAUGCAUGUAAUCAUAUAAGCACAGGGACGCCACCCAGCACUGGUCCGACGCCGAUGGAACGAAGGAAAACUGUUGUGGACAAACUUAUUGAGUCUGUUGAGAAGUUAAAAGUACAUACAGAUCGCCCACAUGCCAAAGCUUCAUCACGAAGAAAACUAGUUUUUAAUGAUCACAUAUAUCAAAAGAAAGCAUUCUCAUUGGUCCAAUCCAGCCAAUCACGAACAAGGAACCUCACAUGUAAAUAAACUGAAUUGUGUCUUUUGCACUCGCACCAUAUUCUUUAUUACUGAUGCAUGAAAUACUGGCUGACUAAAGUAAGUCAACUAGGGCAACAGAGGAAAUAGCAAGCAGGAAAACAAGAUAGACCUAAAGACAAACCAAGUGCGCACAUUCUGAUUGAUCGAUUUGAUGAGCGCGUCUGCCUGGGUCUGGACCUGCUUGACAAGCCACUGCUCGAUCCUGCCGUGCACCUGACUCAGCUUCUUGCUGAGCUCCAACAUCAUGGCCAG